AAGGAGGGCGCUUACCACGGUGGGAUUCAUGACUGGGGUGAAGUCGUAACAAGGUAGCCGUAUCGGAAGGUGCGGCUGGAUCACCUCCUUU
This 91-nucleotide ribosomal RNA is filed under the name Alcaligenes nematophilus. RNAcentral describes it as "partial 16S ribosomal RNA". It matches the Rfam family "Bacterial small subunit ribosomal RNA", at positions 1443 to 1533 of the family's 1533-position model. Lineage: Bacteria; Pseudomonadati; Pseudomonadota; Betaproteobacteria; Burkholderiales; Alcaligenaceae. RNAcentral also lists the same sequence under 1 other name. The record is from RNAcentral.